This 254-nucleotide ribosomal RNA is filed under the name uncultured bacterium. Its description in RNAcentral is "partial 16S ribosomal RNA". It matches the Rfam family "Bacterial small subunit ribosomal RNA", at positions 524 to 776 of the family's 1533-position model. The record is from RNAcentral.
UACGGGGGGAGCAAGCGUUGUUCGGAUUUACUGGGCGUAAAGGGCGCGUAGGCGGCCAGCGCAAGUCAGUUGUGAAAUCUCCGAGCUUAACUCGGAAAGGUCAACUGAUACUGCGCGGCUAGAGUGCAGAAGGGGCAACUGGAAUUCUCGGUGUAGCGGUGAAAUGCGUAGAUAUCGAGAGGAACACCUGCGGCGAAGGCGGGUUGCUGGGCUGACACUGACGCUGAUGCGCGAAAGCCAGGGGAGCGAAUGGG